RNAcentral lists this ribosomal RNA (535 nucleotides) under uncultured bacterium. RNAcentral's name for it is "bacterial SSU rRNA". It matches the Rfam family "Bacterial small subunit ribosomal RNA", at positions 29 to 532 of the family's 1533-position model. The record is from RNAcentral.
AACGAACGCUGGCGGCGUGGAUAAGACAUGCAAGUCGAACGCUGAUUUAUAGGUAGCAAUAUUUGUAAGUCGGAGUGGCGUAAGGGUGCGUAACACGUGGGCAAUCUGCCGCAAAGUCCGGAAUAACCUGCUGAAAGGCGGGCUAAUACCGGAUGUGGUCUUCGGGGGGGAUUCCUCUGAAGUCUAAAGUUGGGACCGCAAGGCCCGACACUUUGUGAUGAGCCCGCGGCCUAUCAGCUAGUUGGCGAGGUAACGGCUCACCAAGGCUAAGACGGGUAGCUGGUCUGAGAGGACGACCAGCCACACUGGAACUGAGACACGGUCCAGACACCUACGGGUGGCAGCAGUCGAGAAUUUUUCACAAUGGGGGAAACCCUGAUGGAGCGACGCCGCGUGGGGGAUGAAGGGCUUCGGCUCGUAAACCCCUGUCAUUCGCGAACAAACCCCCGAAAAUUAAUAAUGUUUCGGGUUGAUAGUAGCGGAAGAGGAAGGGACGGGCUAAACUCUGUGCCAGCAGCCGCGGUAAAUCCGUAGA